Bacillus rossius redtenbacheri is the source of this 3310-nucleotide RNA transcript. It is a transcript of the gene named lisH domain-containing protein ARMC9-like, with no coding region annotated. The record is from RefSeq and is a predicted model, not a curated record. Lineage: Eukaryota; Metazoa; Arthropoda; Insecta; Phasmatodea; Bacillidae. The transcript has 17 exons.
UAGUCUUGUCAGAUAGAACGAAGUGAAUAGAAAAAUGUUAGAUUGUAACAUUGCAAAGACAUCGGAUACUGCAGUGGGUGCGGGGACAGCGGGACCGGAGAAAGAAGAGGGGGUAAGCAGGCGACACGCAGCCGAGAGCCGUGCAGUGGCUGUUAGGAAAAUAUCGCCCUUCAGUGUAUACCCGAAAAUGGAAGACGAAGGUGGCAACUCGCAGAGUGAGUGUCACGAAGCAUCUCUUGUAUUGGCUGAUGUGCCUCGACUGGUCGCUGCAGACAAAUACUGCAUUGAUCUUGUCUAUGAGUUCCUUGCCAGCUACAAUUUCGGAAUAACUGCAGAUACGCUCCUGGAGGAAUGUCAGAGCUUGGGCUUCGAGGUGCCAAAGACUGUAAUCAAGCAGCGGAUCAAGAAAGAGAGUGUCUCAAACAUCAUGAAGCAUUUCACAGAAAAUAAUCUGGUGGACUUCUUUCAGGCAUGGGAGACAUCAGUUCCGGACCCCAUCAAAGCAGAACUGGAGUUCAGGAAGCUGACAUUCUACCUGCACGUCUACUUUGCUGUGUUGCCACUGACGAGUGUGGGCGCGGGGUCUGGCUUCCCGGCCAGCGACAAUGGCUGUGUGCAAGGAGAGGAGGGCGGAAUUAGUGCAGACGGCAUGGAGGUGCUGAAAGAAUUUCUGGAGACAAAGGGCCGGGACUUCAGCAACGAACCAGAGUUCCUGCCGUACUAUGCUCUGCCGUUUGUCAGCGACCCUGUGAACCACCCAUCCUUUGCAAGCGUCUUCAGUGAACACUGGAAGAAAGAGCUUCAGGAGAGCUUGGAGCAGUUCCUGGUGCAGUGUUGCUGGGGCCAGAGAGUUGCCCCGCGGCUGCUCCGCAUGGCCCUGGAGGCCAUGCGGGACGAGACCCCCGCCCUGAGCAGGGCACGGCUGCAGCAGCAGUUGGCAGAGCUGGAGCACAGUUAUCGCCAGCUGAAGAGAAGAUUCCGUCGCCUCAGCAAGGACCACCAGAACCUCAUUGGCAUAGCAACAGAGCUGACGGGAGCCCUUGAGAGCACAGUGAAAGGGAAGGCUGUGGACUUGGCUGCAACCCUGGACAACUGUGCUGCCAUCUUCCCGGAACUGUUCAAGCCAUCCGUCACUCCACAGACAGUCCCAGAAGGUGACGAGGAGUGCUCCCUCGGCGCCGGCAGCGAGAGAGACCGGUCGCACGCGGCCAGCCUGUGGACUAGCUUCGACGUGGACUUCAGGAAGUUGAAGAACCACCUGCUGACCGGCAGCAUGAAGACCCAACUCCUGCUGCUCCAGGCACUGCGAUGGCGCAUCACCCGCUCGAGUGUGGAGGACCGCGAGGAGGUGAUGGGCGCGUACCUGCGACAUGACGUGCUGUGCCUGCACUCGGGCGGCGGGGGGGACCUGCUGGGGGCAUGCCUCCUCCCCGCGGACACGGCCAGCCCUCACCCCCUGCAGCAGGCGGCGGCACGCCUCGUCAACGCCGUGGCCUCCCUGCGCUGCGGCCGGGACUAUCUGUCCGGGGCGGGGCGGGACGUGGCGGGCGUGCUGGUGCGAGCCAUCACCGGGGGCGCCGCCCUCGAUGCCAUCACCACCGACAUGCUCCUGGCGGCACUGCAGAAGCUCAGCCUCAGGCACGGCCAGCGGGUGCGCAUGCUGGAGCUGGGCGUGGUGGAGUGGCUGGUGCGGCACCUGGCCGCGGGGCACAGCUCCGCGCGGGCCUACACCCUGGAGUACGGCACGGCCCUGCUCAUGAACCUGUGCCUCCACCGCCGCGCCCGCCAGCGCUGCCGCCCGCUUGCCAGGCCCGCGCUCGAGCUGCUCUCCGCGCUGCUCGCCACCGAGGCCACCCACGCCCUGCCAUAUGUGAACGGCACCUUGUUCAGCCUCUUGUCCGAGGAGCAGAUCAAUCGGGAGGCCAAGAAGAUGGGCUUGGGUCGAGUAUUGGACUACUACAUCUUGCGCAGUGAAGGGGAGCCGCGCAGGCAGCUGGAGUACAUCGCUCGGCUGCACCGAGGCGACUGCCAGCCGGACCACACUCCGCUCAGUGACGAGGAGAACGAAGAUGACGAUUCAGAGGAAGUGGAUCUCCUGGAGGAAGAGCUGGACUCUGAUGACCCCAUGAAGGGUGGCCAGGGCGAGCCGUGUGGGGAGCAACUGUUGUUCCAGCACUACCGACUGCUCUUCCCCUACGCCGGCGUGGUGCACCCAGCGUCCUCCCAUGCCCAGCCGGGGGAAGUCCUGCGCCGGCCGACCACUCCGCGGUCCCUCUCCAGCCGGCCCAAGAGCCCACCUACUUCUCCCCCCGUAGACGUGGCGACAACCACUUCCCAGCCCACGGCCGCGCAGUUUCACGCUGCAGACGCGUUGAUCCUGGAGAACGUAGAGUCUGAGCUGGAAGCAGAGGACGUGGAGGAAGAGGUCGAAGAAGCCAGCAUCCCAGCCGUCAGCUUGAACGUCCCGGCUCCGGAUGCGCAAGAGACUGCAGGUGGCGGGGAGUCGAGUGUGGAACCCAGCUCCUCUCAGGCGGGGUGAGUCCUAGGUAGCAAGCCACUCGUCUCGAUGCUCUGUGCCUUCUUGCGCCGCCGCACGUCACGCCACCGGUAGCCGCUCGCACGCCAGUCUCGCCACUGCAUGGAUCCUUCACACGCAUCUGCUGCUUCAUGCGUCACAUCUCCAUAGACGUUAAGUGUAUGAAUGAAGAAUACAGUGAAGCAUUCAGCUCCCGCCCACGCAUCCCUCGCACUCCGACCUUCCAACGAUCUUUCACAGCUUGGUGAGCUGCCCCUUAGCAACCAGGGACGUCUACCUGAUGGGUCGAACUUCUGUUUGGAGCUCAGAUAUAUAUUUGACAGUGACAAACACAAUCCACUCAUCUGCAAAUUGCAGUGCACCAAGUAAAUAUUUUUUUGUAAGUGCUUUUACUGUAAAUGAUGCUUAAACUAAUAAAUAAUAAAUAAAAAUGAUGUGUGUAUUCUUUCUAGAGUUAUAUGUACAUAGUGUAUGUAUGCGUCUGUUAUUUAUAAUCCUUCGUGGCAGUUGCACAUACUGGGUAAGAUUUUAUGUAUUUGUGGCAUUGAAGCUGGACUGAUUAUACCUAGUUAUGUAGCAUAUACUGACAUAGUAUAUGCAGGUUGCAUCCUUAGAACGAGUAUAGCGAACUAAGAAAAAUUGGCAUUGUUAGGUCUAGCCAGUGAAAUACAUUCUGUAUUGAUCUUAAUAAUAGUUAUUGUAAUUUUUAUACUUGUAAUAAUAACUUAUGAGUUGGUAGGUACCUAUGGAAUGAAACAAGCACUAUGUAAUGAA